Molecule: long non-coding RNA, 434 nt
Filed under: Elaeis guineensis (African oil palm)
Lineage: Eukaryota; Viridiplantae; Streptophyta; Magnoliopsida; Arecales; Arecaceae
Description: long non-coding RNA (EGUI_LNC054585)
Source: RNAcentral
GCUGCCUCCUGUUUCUAUGCCCAUGCCUCCUCUCCUCUUCCUCUCUCUAGCUCACGUCCUCUCUCUCUAGGCAUCCUUUCUUGGAGCCAAAAGAAGGGUGGGCAACAUCAUAGGAGGUGGUGUCAAUUGUUGGCACCACUUGCUCUUGAUUUGUUCCCUUCCAUUUCAAGUUUGUUGAGAGUUAGUUACAACCACUUCUUGGUUGUUGUUCUUCUUGGUUAGUUGAAAGAUCAAGAAAGAUUCUGGAUUUCUUCAAGAAUCAAUAAAGAAAGAUCAAAAGGAUUCACAAUUAAAAGCCUCUCCGAUUUGAUUCAAGCCUAUUCAGGCUUUUGGUUCAAGCAAGCAGGAGUCAAGAGAAUCGAUUCAGGUCAGCUCUGUGGAUAUCCGUAGAGGCAGGAUGCUUGUGUUGUUGAUUCAGAACCUAUUCAGGCCUU